This 253-nucleotide ribosomal RNA is filed under the name uncultured bacterium. RNAcentral's name for it is "partial 16S ribosomal RNA". It matches the Rfam family "Bacterial small subunit ribosomal RNA", at positions 524 to 776 of the family's 1533-position model. The record is from RNAcentral.
UACGUAGGCAGCGAGCGUUGUUCGGAAUUACUGGGCGUAAAGAGUGUGUAGGCGGUGCUCUAAGUUCGGUGUAAAAUCUCCUGGCUCAACUGGGAGGGUGCGCCGGAAACUGGAGUGCUUGAGCGUGGGAGAGGAAAGCGGAAUUCCUGGUGUAGCGGUGAAAUGCGUAGAUAUCAGGAGGAACACCGGCGGUGUAGACGGCUUUCUGGACCGUAGCUGACGCUGAGACACGAAAGCGUGGGUAGCAAACAGG